RNAcentral lists this ribosomal RNA (460 nucleotides) under uncultured bacterium. RNAcentral's name for it is "partial 16S ribosomal RNA". It matches the Rfam family "Bacterial small subunit ribosomal RNA", at positions 338 to 795 of the family's 1533-position model. The record is from RNAcentral.
CCUACGGGUGGCAGCAGUGAGGAAUAUUGGUCAAUGGGCGGAAGCCUGAACCAGCCAAGUCGCGUGAGGGAUGAAGGUUCUAUGGGUCGUAAACCUCUUUUAUCAGGGAAUAAAGUGCGGGACGUGUCCCGUUUUGUAUGUACCUUAUGAAUAAGGAUCGGCUAACUCCGGGCCAGCCACCGCGGUAAUACUGAGGAUCCGAGCGUUAUCCGGAUUUAUUGGGUUUAAAGGGUGCGUAGGGGGCCUUUUAAGUCAGCGGGGAAAGUGUGGGGGUCAACCAUAGAAUUGCCGUUGUAACUGGGAGGCUUGAGUAUGCUUGAGGCAGGCGGAAUGCGUGGUGUAGCGGUGAAAUGCUUAGAUAUCACGCAGAACCCCGAUUGCGAAGGCAGCCUGCCAAGCCAUGACUGACGCUGAUGCACGAAAGUGUGGGGAUCAAACAGGAUUAGAUACCCUUGUAGUC